RNAcentral lists this ribosomal RNA (119 nucleotides) under Triticum aestivum (bread wheat). The record is from RNAcentral. Lineage: Eukaryota; Viridiplantae; Streptophyta; Magnoliopsida; Poales; Poaceae.
GGAUGCGAUCAUACCAGCACUAAAGCACCGGAUCCCAUCAGAACUCCGAAGUUAAGUGUGCUUGGGCGAGAGUAGUACUAGGAUGGGUGACCUCCUGGGAAGUCCUCGUGUUGCAUUCU